RNAcentral lists this ribosomal RNA (360 nucleotides) under Salmonella enterica subsp. enterica. Its description in RNAcentral is "partial 23S ribosomal RNA". It matches the Rfam family "Bacterial large subunit ribosomal RNA", at positions 1212 to 1554 of the family's 2925-position model. The record is from RNAcentral. Lineage: Bacteria; Pseudomonadati; Pseudomonadota; Gammaproteobacteria; Enterobacterales; Enterobacteriaceae.
AUUAAAGUCGAGUUGGCUUAGGGAUACGUUCGUUGGGUAGGGGAGCGUUCUGUAAGCCUGUGAAGGUGUGUCGUGAGGCAUGCUGGAGGUAUCAGAAGUGCGAAUGCUGACAUAAGUAACGAUAAAGCGGGUGAAAAGCCCGCUCGCCGGAAGACCAAGGGUUCCUGUCCAACGUUAAUCGGGGCAGGGUGAGUCGACCCCUAAGGCGAGGCCGAAAGGCGUAGUCGAUGGGAAACGGGUUAAUAUUCCCGUACUUGGUGUUACUGCGAAGGGGGGACGGAGAAGGCUAUGUUGGCCGGGCGACGGUUGUCCCGGUUUAAGCGUGUAGGUGUGUGUUCCAGGUAAAUCCGGUUCACUUUA